RNAcentral lists this unclassified non-coding RNA (396 nucleotides) under soil metagenome. RNAcentral describes it as "partial contains 5.8S ribosomal RNA, internal transcribed spacer 2, and large subunit ribosomal RNA". The stretch from base 1 to 122 matches the Rfam family "5.8S ribosomal RNA", at positions 35 to 154 of the family's 154-position model. The record is from RNAcentral.
GAUGAAGAACGUAGCGAAAUGCGAUACUUGGUGUGAAUUGCAGAAUCCCGUGAACCAUCGAGUCUUUGAACGCAAGUUGCGCCCGAAGCCAUUUGGUUGAGGGCACGUCUGCCUGGGCGUCACAUACCGUUGCCCGAUGCCUAUUGCACGGUGAUAGGAAAUUCUAGGGCGAAAGAUGGCUUCCCGUGAGCGUUGUUGCCUCGCGGUUGGUUGAAAAUCGAGUCCUUGGUAGGGUGUGCCAUGAUAGAUGGUGGUCGAGUUUGCACGAGACCGAUCAUGUGUGCGCUCCCCAAAAUAUGGACUCUUUGACCCCACACGCGUCUUUUGACGCUCAUGACGAGACCUCAGGUCAGGCGGGGCUACCCGCUGAGUUUAAGCAUAUCAAUAAGCGGAGGA